UCCCUGGUGGUCUAGUGGCUAAGACUCUGUGCUCCCGAUGCAGGAGACAUGGGUUUGAUCCCUGGUCAGGGAG
RNAcentral lists this transfer RNA (73 nucleotides) under Bos taurus (domestic cattle). It matches the Rfam family "tRNA". Rfam says of the family: Transfer RNA (tRNA) molecules are approximately 80 nucleotides in length. Lineage: Eukaryota; Metazoa; Chordata; Mammalia; Artiodactyla; Bovidae. The record is from Rfam by way of RNAcentral. RNAcentral also lists the same sequence under 4 other names.